GACAGGGGUGGCAAGCGUUGUUCGGAGUGACUGGGCGUAAAGGGUCUGUAGGUGGUUUUCCAAGUCUUUGGUAAAAAGCUGUGGCUCAACCAUAGUGAGGCCAAGGAGACUGGGAGACUCGAGGCUGGGAGAGGGAAGCGGAAUUUCUGGUGUAGCGGUGAAAUGCGUAGAGAUCAGAAAGAAGGCCGGUGGCGAAGGCGGCUUCCUGGAACAGACCUGACACUGAGAGACGAAAGCGUGGGGAGCAAACAGGAUUGGAUACCCUGGUAGUCCACGCCCUAAACGAUGGGUACUAAGUGUGGGGAGCAAUCCCUGUGCCGCAGCUAACGCAAUAAGUACCCCGCCUGGGGAGUACGGCCGCAAGGUUGAAACUCAAAGGAA
Molecule: ribosomal RNA, 381 nt
Filed under: uncultured bacterium
Lineage: Bacteria
Description: bacterial SSU rRNA
Rfam family: Bacterial small subunit ribosomal RNA
Source: RNAcentral